This 390-nucleotide ribosomal RNA is filed under the name uncultured Leptophrys. Its description in RNAcentral is "SSU rRNA". It matches the Rfam family "Eukaryotic small subunit ribosomal RNA", at positions 585 to 972 of the family's 1831-position model. Lineage: Eukaryota; Endomyxa; Vampyrellida; Leptophryidae. The record is from RNAcentral.
CCAGCUCCAAUAGCGUAUAUUAAAGUUGUUGCAGUUAAAAGGCUCGUAGUCGAUUAUCUGAUUCUUCAGCAUUGUUCCAUUCUCUUGUAGAAUGUCGUGACAUUGCUUAGAAUCUUCCUGGUAGAAAGUACUUCUGCCCUUUAUUGGGUUGGUUGUAGGAUUUACCUCCUUUACUGUGAGAAAAACAAAGUGCUCAAAGCAGGCUUUUAAGCUUGAAUGAUUUAGCAUGGAAUAAUAAGAUAGGACUUUGUUUCUGUUUUGUUGUCUUUAAGAAGCGAAGUAAUGAUUGAUAGAGAUAGUUGGGGGUGCUCGUAUUUAACGGUCAGCGGUGAAAUGCUCGGACCCGUUAAAGACGAUCCAAUGCGAAAGCAUUCACCAAGGAUAUCUUCU